This 1786-nucleotide unclassified non-coding RNA is filed under the name Cotesia glomerata. Its description in RNAcentral is "solute carrier family 35 member F5, transcript variant X2". The record is from RNAcentral. Lineage: Eukaryota; Metazoa; Arthropoda; Insecta; Hymenoptera; Braconidae.
GGAUGUUAUUUUUAGUAUACCAGCAUUUUUAGUAUACCAGCAUUUUUAAGAGUGAUUAUGUGUACCGAUAGAAACAAUCAUUUCUAAAUCCUACUUAAAUAGGAUUUUUAUAUCUCUCAUAUAAACUGAUGUCUAUUAGAUGCCUAAAAAGUAUAUUUCAUAAAAAUGACAUCUUAUAUAUCGAUGAGAAUUAUUGCCAUAAGUUUGCGGUAUUAGGUUAAAUGGAAUAAAAAUUAAGCUGACGAGCUCGUCUUGAAACUCUUAGUAUGAAAGACAACUUGAUAUAGAAAUAAAAUCCAAACGGAUUCAAAUUAAUAAUGAAUAAAUCUCAGAAACUUAUUAUAGGACUUCUAAUAUUAUUAUUAGUUAAUGUUAUUUGGAUGUCUAGCUCCAAACUCACUCAGUACAUUUAUUCAGAAACAGCAUUUAAAAAGCCAUUCUUUAGUACAUACAUAAAUCUAUCAAUGUUAACACUUUAUCUACUGGGAUUAUGUUUUUGGCCUCCAUGGAGAGAUCAGUGCAACAGAUCUUCAACUUAUACAUUUGUAGAUCCCAAUGCAGAAGACGAAAAUUUUUAUUCCGAGGUCAAUAAUACCAGUUUAAGUGAUCCAACGUUUGUUCCAAUAAAAAAAUCAGCACAUUAUGAUCGUUCGUCUGGAACAGAAAGUGAUGAUUCUUCUAUUCGAGCUGUACGAUUUAGUAAAUUAGCCGAAGUCCGGCAUAUGUCUGAAGGUGAUGCUAUUGAAGCGUUAUUAGCAAGGCUCAGUUAUCCAGCCAGCAUUCGUGCUGGGGAACAUGCACGUCGUCAAGCUCACAAAUUUUCUAUUCCAAAAGUCGCUAAAAUUGCUUUGAUAUUUUGCCUUAUUUUAUUUAUGGCCAACUACACUUACCAAAUUUUAUUAGCCCAAAUGGAAACUGGAAAUAUGACUGUGGUGUCAGCGGCAUCCAGUUUAUUCACACUAUUUCUAGCUUCAUUUUUUCCAAGUAGCAGCAAUGACAAAUUUUCCAUAUCAAAAUUAUUGGCCGUAUUAAUUAACAUUUUCGGAAUGGUUUCAAUUAGCCGAUUCAAUAUAACUAUGGAUAUAAAUAGAGAUCCUAAGAUUAUAAUUUUAAGUUUGCUAAGCGCAUUUUUUCAAACAAUUUACGUGGUUUUUUUAAAAAAAAAAGUUGAUUACGAAGACCGAAUGGACAUACCUAUGUUUUUUGGAUUUGUAGGCCUUUUUAAUCUUACUUUGUUAUGGCCAAUUUUUUUCAUUCUUCAUUACGGUCAUUGGGAAGAAUUUGAAUGGCCAAAUAGUCGCCAAUGGACAUUUAUGGUUCUUAAUGGAUUUAUGAGUACAUUAUUAAGUGAAGUUCUAUGGUUAUGGAGCUGCUUUCUGACAUCUUCACUAAUAGGUAUAUUAUCAGGUAGCUUAUUGAUACCCAUGUCGAUGAUAGCUGAUGUACUUCUGAAAAGGGUUCAAUAUCCAUAUAUAUUUUAUUUAAGCAUGAUACCGAUGUUAUUAGGAUUCUUGACCAUAUUCUCGCUUUCUUGUUAUGAAAAUUGGGAUCCAAUAGUGGCUGUUUUGAAACCACUCCACUCUUGGGUGUUGAGAAAAAAUAAAAGUAUAAGUGAGUGUGACGCGAGAAAAAGAGGAGGCCGGCUGUUAAUCCUCAAGUUUUCCACAUCAUAUCCUUGUCAUCCUUCUGCGUGUAGUCUCUUGAGGCAAGACUAAAGCGAAAAAUGAUCAAUUUCAACAUGUAUAAAAUUUUAUUAAUUUAAUUAAAAAUUUCACGAUUUAGAAGC